AACGAACGCUGGCGGCAGGCUUAACACAUGCAAGUCGAACGGUUGUAGCAAUACAGCAGUGGCAGACGGGUGAGUAACACGUGGGAACCUUCCUAGGGGUACGGAACAACUCAGGGAAACUUGAGCUAAUACCGUAUACGUCCGUGAGGAGAAAAAUUUAUCGCCCUUAGACGGGCCCGCGUCGGAUUGGCUAGUUGGUGGGGUAACGGCCUACCAAGGCGACGAUCCGUAGCUGAUCUUAGAGGAUGAUCAGCACACUGGGACUGAGACACGGCCCAGACUCCUACGGGAGGCAGCAGUGGGGAAUCUUGGACAAUGGGCGCAAGCCUGAUCCAGCCAUGCCGCGUGAGUGAAGAAGGUCUUCGGAUUGUAAAGCUCUUUUGCCAGGGACGAUAAUGACGGUACCUGGAGAAUAAGCCCCGGCAAACUUCGUGCCAGCAGCCGCAGUAA
Molecule: ribosomal RNA, 450 nt
Filed under: uncultured bacterium
Lineage: Bacteria
Description: partial 16S ribosomal RNA
Rfam family: Bacterial small subunit ribosomal RNA
Source: RNAcentral